RNAcentral lists this ribosomal RNA (250 nucleotides) under uncultured bacterium. RNAcentral's name for it is "partial 16S ribosomal RNA". It matches the Rfam family "Bacterial small subunit ribosomal RNA", at positions 57 to 305 of the family's 1533-position model. The record is from RNAcentral.
GCAAGUCGAUCGAGAAAGUCACCUUCGGGUGGCGAGUAGAGAGGCAGACGGGUGAGUAACAAGUGGGUAAUCUGCCUUCAGGUGGGGGAUAACCAUUCGAAAGGAUGGCUAAUACCGCAUGAGACCACGGCUCUUAGGAGUAGUGGUUAAAGACUUCGGUCGCCUGAUGAGGAGCCCGCUCCCGAUUAGCUAGUUGGUGAGGUAAUGGCUUACCAAGGCAACGAUCGGUAGCUGGUCUGAGAGGAUGAUC